Molecule: non-coding RNA, 1287 nt
Filed under: Pongo abelii (Sumatran orangutan)
Lineage: Eukaryota; Metazoa; Chordata; Mammalia; Primates; Hominidae
Source: RNAcentral
CUUUGGGAGGCCGAGGUGGGCAGAUCACCUAAGGCCAGGAGUUCGAGACCAGCCUGGCCAACGUGGCAAAACCCCGUCUCUACUAAAAAUACAAAAAUUAGCCGGGCAUGGUGGUGUGUGCCUGGAAUCCCAGCUACCCAGGAGGCUUAGGCAGGAGAAAUGCUGGAACCCGGGAGGCAGAGGCUGCAGUGAGCUGAGAUCAUGCCACUACUGCACUCCAGCCUGGGUGACAGAGCAAGACUCCCUCUAAAAAAAGAAAAAAAGAAAAGAAAAGAAAAGAAAAUGAUAUAUCCAUGAUGAAUUAAGAUGGAGUGGAACCCACUGAUGGUAUGCAGCUGAUAAGACGCUAUAAAGAAAUGAUAUCCGGACACAUGGUGAGACUUUCUCCCCUCUGUAAAUCUCAAUUCUUGUGAUUCUUUCAAAGGGAAAGCCACAGAAGGUACCAGUUAUCCACUCACCUACUUAGGUGUCUCCACUAGAAUUCUCAGCACGUUUUUGCAGAACCUGGGCAACAAGAGCGAAACCCCAUCUCAAAACAACAACAACAACAACAACAGGACAACAGAGAUGGACGACGGAUCGGGAAAGCCAACCAGACAGUGUGAGGCCAGGACAGAAAGAGGCACAGGGAGCUCUGCUCAGUUUCGCUACAGGGGAUCUCUCAGGCUCACAAUGGGCCAGUCCUCUAUGGAAGUUCUGGCCUCAUCAUGAUCCUUCUUUCAUCUCACUCCCCAUGCCCUUCCUCUGUCCCUCCUCCCACUGCCAUUUAUUUAUUUAAGUGAAAAAGUACCAAUCACCCCCAUAUGCAUAAAAUACUCAUCCAUGUACCCAUUUCUUAAAAUUGAUCAUUGUUAACAUUUGGUAUAAUUUGCUUUAUUUAUUUUUAAUGAAAGAAAUACAACUUUACAGAAAAUGCUUUAUUUUUCUCUUUGUUCCCUCCCCAUCCUAUCUUUUUCUCCUAAAAAACUCUGUUAUCAGAAAUAUUAGUGUGUAUUCCCAGUUUUGAUUUUUUAUUUUAUUACACACGCACUCCCACACAUAGCUGUGGCAAUGAACUUCACAUAGUAUGGUUCUGUAUUUUCUCUUUGUUUUUCAAACUUACGUAAGUAUUUUACUGUUUCUCAUGGAAAAACUCACUUUUCCCAUCCAACGUUACGUUUUCUUAAGAUCUCUCUAUGUUGAUAUAAAGGAAUCUAGUUCAUUCUUUUUAAUGAAAAUAAAGUAUAUUUUAUGAAUGUAACUCAUGCUAACCAUGGCAAUCAAAGCUCCAACAAGCAUGCAUUUAGU